RNAcentral lists this ribosomal RNA (156 nucleotides) under Arenaria oreophila. Its description in RNAcentral is "5.8S ribosomal RNA". It matches the Rfam family "5.8S ribosomal RNA". From Rfam's summary of the family: 5.8S ribosomal RNA (5.8S rRNA) is a component of the large subunit of the eukaryotic ribosome. It is transcribed by RNA polymerase I as part of the 45S precursor that also contains 18S and 28S rRNA. Lineage: Eukaryota; Viridiplantae; Streptophyta; Magnoliopsida; Caryophyllales; Caryophyllaceae. The record is from RNAcentral.
AACGACUCUCGGCAACGGAUAUCUCGGCUCUCGCAUCGAUGAAGAACGUAGCGAAAUGCGAUACUUGGUGUGAAUUGCAGAAUCCCGUGAACCAUCGAGUCUUUGAACGCAAGUUGCGCCCGAAGCCUUUUGGCUAAGGGCACGUCUGCCUGGGCG